This 445-nucleotide long non-coding RNA is filed under the name Sus scrofa (pig). Its description in RNAcentral is "lncRNA (ENSSSCG00070012907.1)". The record is from RNAcentral. Lineage: Eukaryota; Metazoa; Chordata; Mammalia; Artiodactyla; Suidae.
AUGGCUGGGAUUAGGAGACAAAACUGGCUACCACCACUAAGCAGAAAGAUUCCACAAAGGCAAAGGGGAAGCUUACAUGAAGCAGACCUGAGUUCCUGCUAUUACUUAUGUGCAACAUCAGAAAGAGAAUUCCAUGAUAAGUGUGGACAGUCUCUAAGGUAGCGUUUUUGGAAAUAGUUUAAAGGUUUCUUGGUGGUUGCAUUUAUUUUUUACUGAAUGUGAAUGUGUAUAUUCUCAACAUAUGUUUAUAUACACGUAUAAAGUGUGUAUGUACACAUUAGUUCAUGCUUCCAUAAACACAAGAUGACUGAGGUGCUGCUUAAGUCAUGGGUUACCUAUGUGUUGGUUAUUUUGAUUUUUUUUUUCUUAACUAUACCCAAAGGAUAUUACUUUUAUCCAUUUUACCAUGAAUAAAUCCAUGUUAGUGAUGUGAGGAUUUUUUUUU